RNAcentral lists this long non-coding RNA (3242 nucleotides) under Lathyrus oleraceus (garden pea). Its description in RNAcentral is "Pisum sativum (pea) long non-coding RNA (PSAT_LNC011049)". Lineage: Eukaryota; Viridiplantae; Streptophyta; Magnoliopsida; Fabales; Fabaceae. The record is from RNAcentral.
ACAAUUGUCCAAUUGAAUGCAAAUUAACCCAAUGGAAAAAUCAAUAUCUAACUAUCUUAAUCUCAAAACAAAAUCCACAAAAAGGAAUAUCAAGCCCUAAUGACUAAUCAAACUAUGGUCAAACAAUUAUGAAUCAAAUUCUAAAGAAAACGGAAUCAAAUUAACAUGAUGAUUAAACCUAAAUCAAACAAAUAAAUUUACAUUAAUUCCUAAUUAACCCUAAUCAUCCUAAUAUUCCUAAAACCAUGAAUUAACAUAAUCAAAGUCUUGAAGAUCUUAAUUCUAACAAUAACAAGAAAAUCAGAAUCAUGUUAAUCGACACAAAAUUAGCAAGAUUAAAAUAAAUUGAAAUCCUUAAGAAGGGAUUAAUGGGGGAUUAAGAAAGGUUAAUGGGCCAUGGGUGUAUGGUAACUAGAGAGAGUGUGCAAAAGAUUGCCUUUGGGCCCUGGAACUUUUCAUCCUUUGGCCCAAAUUCUCCAAGAAUUAUCCAAGAAUCGGUUUUAACAGGAAAAAGCCAAGGACUGUGUCAACGCAACAACACCUUUAGUAACCCAGGGAACGAAAUUUUUACGAAGACUUACAGAAACGUCGCGAAGCAACUCGCACUUCAACCACACACACCCUCUCCGUCACCGCAUCGUUGCUAGAAAAAUGGGAUCCGCUUCGAUUCUGCUUCGAUUUGAAUUCAAGAAUGGCUUCCUAUUCUGUCUGACUGAGACGAGGAUGAAGAACUUCGUGUUCGCCAUUGUGGAUUGAGAUGAAGAGAGCGGAAUAAUUGUUGGUCUAUGAAGGUGUUGUUGCGUUGCCGACGAAGAGAAUGAAUCAACGAAGAAUCCAGAGUAAUUUCCGCGAGAUCUCGAACGAAUCUGUAUCCGAUCCGAAGUCCGGCCAAAUCGUAAGCUCCGAUGAUCCUUCUUCUUCUUCUUCUUCUCGUUCUUAGUUUGUUUCUCUGAAUUCUGUGAAACUCUUUUGGCUAUGGAGUUGUGGUUUUUGGUUUUUGCUACCUCUUCAAUCUCUCUUUCUGUUUCAUUCUAUGAAGGUUGUGUGUAGUUAAAAUGGUGAGUGAAGAUUGGUGAGGUUUGAAUGGUUCAAAGUUGACGGAAGGUUUGGUGAUUUGUGAAGUGGAGAUUUUGAGGAGGGUUGUUGAAUGAUGGUGAAGAUGAUGGAGUGAAGUUGGGGGUUCUGUUAAGGGUGGUCUUAUUGAAGGUUGGGGCGUCAAGAAGCUGUUGUGGGCGUGAGGCUCCGUUAGCCGGUUUUCAGAAGAAAAAAUAGUUAUUUUAACUUUCCGUUCCAUCCCCUUUUUUUCUAUUGGAGUUUGUUAUGAGAAGUAAAUCAGCUCGGUUUUGGGAGGUUUUCUUUGUAGGGUAUUCAAGGAUUGGUUUUGUCAUGUGGAGAGCGAUUGGAGGUCCUUUUUCUUUCAAUGUCAGUUGGAAAUCCUGAGUUAGAGUGUGGAUUUGGUUAGUGUCGUGAGGUUGUAACGGUCGGGAUUCAGUUAUCCUUUCUGUCGGAGGUUAGAAUUUGUUUUUUGAAGACACUCUGCUAGUUAUCAAUGUCAGUUACAAUGUGAUUGCAAUUUUACUGGACAUUCUGUUAGGGAGGUUAGAAAUCCGUACAGGUCAUUGAAGGGUUAUUUUGAAUCGGUUAGAGAAGGGUUAGUUUGUUAGUUGUGUAGAAGUUUGUUGGAAGGUUUAUUGAAUUGGUUGAAAUUGUGUACAUUGGUUUUUCUCUGCUGCAGGUCUUUGAAUGCUAUAAAUUAGAAGGAACUUGGAAUUCUGCCGGUUUUUCUCAAAGUUGGUUCUCAGUUUGGAAGUCAAGAGAUUUUGUUCAAUCUUUUGUGUGAGCAGAUAACUUUUUGGAGUUUAUUUCUCUAUUUCAAUUGUGAUGCAGGGUCAUUGGUUUUAUGUUUUUUCUAUUAUGCUCCCAUUGAGAGGUUUUAUGUUUUUUCUAUUAUGCUCCCAUUGAGAGCUUUUUCUUCCAAUAGUGUAGAAGUAUCUAUUUAAAUCGUUCACUGACACAACACGAGGUGAAUCUAUAUCUAUAUAGGAGUAGCUUGCAACUGGUUGAAUAUGAAGUCAUGACUCACAUAUAGUAAUAAGUAGUAGUAUCUAAAAGCAGUACACGCUGACACGUGAAAGCAGAUGUUGAAUAUGAAGUCAUGACUCAUAUAUAUCCAAAAAGCAGUAGAGACACGUGAAAGCAUUACACUGCACUUUAGUUCACUGACACUGACACUAAAACAGUAAGGCAAGAAAACACUAUUUAUAGGACACUACUUAGGGUUAAAGAGUAUUGAAACAGUAAGACUAUUUAAAGGACACCACUGGCACUUAGUGUUAAAAGAGAAACAGUAAGGCAAGAAAACACUAUUUAUAGGACACUACUUAGUGUUAAAGAGUAUUGAAACAGUAAGACUAUUUAAAGGACACCACUGGCACUUAGUGUUAAAAGAGAGUAAAAUACUUCCACUUAUUAAGCCAGUAUGACAUUGAACCAUAUCACAGGAUCCCACAUCACAUCUCUUUUCCCUUCUUCUCUGUAAGAUUAUCAGCAUUGUCCAAAGGGAAAUCGGUUUUCAUUAACUCCCAUUGAAUCACACCCUCUUUCACUUUUGAAAAUGAUGAUGAUCCUUGACCUCUAAGAAAAUUACUUGCCAUUACAUCCAGCUUCUUUGAUAUACCUCUCAAUUCUUCAUAAUCAUCAUCUCUUUCCAGCAUUUUUCUUUUCAGUUUUAGUUGGAACUCCUGCUUUCUUUUUUCCUUUUUCUUUUUUCUUCUUUUUUCCAUCAUCUUCAGCAAAGAGAUAUUCAAAAACCAAACUUUGGUUCUCCCAAGUGUGGUAAUCAACCAAAACAGUCGAUGGAACUUUUAUUGUGCCCUCACAUUCUUCAUUCAACUCAAUCCUAAUGAGUUUGUUACCUAAUCUUUGAAGGCAAUUCAAAAUAUAACUCACCUUUUUCCCCAAGGUGAUUCCCUCGAUAAAUCCCUUUUUUAGUCGCAUAAUAAUUUCUUUCGGAUGGUAAAUAGUCUUCCACCUUUGCAGAGUAGAGAAUCUCUUCUGCUAUCUUAUCAGUGACUUGGUUAUUAAGAUUCAAGAAACACAUGGUGAAAACCAGUCAGUUUACAAAAUUAGAAUGUGUGACAGUUCCUUUUGAGUGUGAGAUCAAAGAAGUUAUAUUCUUCAUGGAAUGCUCAUUCACUGUGAAGUACCUUAUAAAAUCAAUCAGGAAACUAUUGAUUUCUUUC